Oryza sativa Japonica Group (Japanese rice) is the source of this 2221-nucleotide non-coding RNA. The record is from RefSeq and is a predicted model, not a curated record. NCBI's taxonomy places the organism in Eukaryota, Viridiplantae, Streptophyta, Magnoliopsida, Poales, Poaceae.
CAAGCUGCUCCUCACACCGAUUUCUCCCGGCCGCGUCACCAACCAACGUGGCGUCGUCGAUCUCCUCCGCGCAUCCGCCGGACCUCCCUCACCAAUCUGCUCUGUCCGUGUCACCAACGACGGCCGCGUCAAGUACUUGCGCCGCCGACGCCGGAUCGGCGGGAAUCGUGCUCGAAUGGGCCAGGGGCAAACGGCGCCGGCCGGCUCUUCUCCUCGUCCUCCCGGUCUAGCCAAAGGUGCCACCCUAAUCAUCUCCUAUGACGGACAACGGUGCCACACCUCCUCUGAUCCAAGCUGACUUGACCUGUUGAGAUUGCCCCAAUGUCACCGCCGUGGUCACUGCUGGGAUGGGAAGCACGGGUCACGACGCGGAGGUCACCUGGGCCAACUUCGACGGCUCGUCUUUGGCGUCGCCUUCUUCGUUUAUCAGGACAUAUCUUAGAUGGGAGCAGUGGAUAAAGAAGUUGCAGUUCAUUACCAUUGGUUCAAGGUAACAACACUAGUUUUUUUUUCCUAUGGAACGUAUUCUAAACAAACAUUAAUCCUUUCUCUCAUUUCAGACAAAAUCCUAGAUACCACUUCAGUAUUUUUGUGCAAUGCGGUUUUCAUUGGGACCACCGGAAAUCACUUAAUUAUGUAGGAAAGAGAUGUGGAAAUCCUAUGAUAUAUGCAACUGAGAAUAGUAAUGCUUCCGUACCUCCUAAAGUGAAUGUGAUGCAACAUAGAUUUUUCGAAUAUUUAUCAAUAUGGCCCUUUGUUCUACAUAAUUAGAGUAGGUUGUAUAUUUAACAGUUAUUAUUCAUCGUUUAGACAAUAAUUGUUUGGUCGACUAUUAUGUAGUAAAGAAUUCACAGCUCUACCUCUUUGCCAACUACUAUAUUUGGUCGACCAUAGAUAUCAACCUGGCACUUCACUUGAUUAACCACUAAGGGAGCCUCCCAUGUGAUGUUUCAUAAAGAGGUUGAAUUGUUACCCAUUUGCAAACAAAUACGUAUAGAUUGAGAUAAUUUUCAUGCAUUUUUUUUUACUUUUGUUCUCCUACUGAUUUUCCUAUUAUAAUAUUACACGGUUUCUUUUAGAUGACCACAUUUGCUGGAGGUGUAUCAUCCAUGCAGGCGCAUGGACCAACUGACCACCAUAUACAUCCUCCUUUCAAGGAUGGAUUUGGUCCCUCUAUGAACCAAACAAGUUUUUUUUGUUCGAGAACAACUUUCUCAACUAUAUGCCCUUAUAACUUCUCUCAUGGUUAGUAUCAUGCUUCGGUUCUUGCAUGCGCCAUAUUUCAUGGAUUGGAAGUAGAAAUUGUGCUUAGAUAGGGUUAUUGAUGCUUAAUUUUUACCUUGGCGUGCUUAGGCCGAUUUAAGUCCUAUUGUAUCCUUAUAUGUAUCACCGUAUCAAUGAAAGAUGACAGGCGGAGAGCUCCUGCAGGCAAUAAAUUUCCUAUGGUAGGAUGAGCCUAUCAAGUUCUAACGGGAUGAAAUACACCGAGUUUCUGGAGUAAAGCCAGAGAGGCUGGUACAGGGUCUAUCUCCUAGAUAUUGUGCAUUAUCUCUGGUUGUGGAACCAAAUAUGUAUCCAGAGAUAAAUGUUCUGAUUGUUGAUCUACACCGUAGGCACAUAUCUACAUUUCUUGUCAGUAAUGCACAGUUUCCUGAUAAGAUUAAGACAUUGAAACCAAUCAAUCAUGUCAUAUUCGAAUUAAGAUAUGUUUUGGCAUUUAAGUGCUCAAAGCAACAAGCUUUAAAGAUAUCUGUUUAUAUGGUUGCAACUGUAUGUCAGUGUGGACGCAGCUACAAAGGAAACCUUGAAAACUGUCGAUAGACUAUUAUUUUCAGAAUUCCGGGAGCGUUUUCUGGAUUCACUGAAGUCUCUGCAUCACAAAGAUCAAUGAACAGUCUACCGGCUGACAUUGGUUAAAGGCUAGAAUGCAGAAGAGAUAGAUGGUUAUGCAAAGUUACUGCCUUGGCCAAUCUGAUUUCAUUGAAAUCAAGGGUGUAACAUAUUGUGGCUCGCCAGCAGCUUCCAAGUUGACUAUGGAAAAUGUCCCCUGUCACUCUGAUGUAAAAGAAUUCUCUGAGGCUUUGGCAUUAAGAAGUGGUGGCAUUUAUGAAGUAGCUUGACUUCUAUGGUUGGAAUUGAUUUCAGGACUCCAUUCAAAAAAUGUGUGGCAUAAAUGGAAUGAUUUAUGGUAGUUGCAGAGUCACUAACAAGUAACACCCCC